This 1753-nucleotide unclassified non-coding RNA is filed under the name Hevea brasiliensis (rubber tree). Lineage: Eukaryota; Viridiplantae; Streptophyta; Magnoliopsida; Malpighiales; Euphorbiaceae. The record is from RNAcentral.
GGGGGCGGCAAUAUUAGAGAAAUUAAUGCUCCUACGGUCUAGAUUCCCCAUAUGACAAUUCAUGCUGCUCUAAUCCUUAAGGUAUAGUUCUAAUGAUGCAAUUUUACAAGUCCAAAGUUGUAGCACCUUGCAGAAAACCGAUGGGAUAACACCAAUUAUAAAAUAGCCAAUGCUGACCCACGGCCUCAAAUAGCCAGCUUUACGGCUUUUCCUAAAGACCCUACAGAAAAUUGAAUAGACAAAGUCGACAUAAAAGCUAAAGUGUAAUUGAGUAGGCAUUGCUACCACUUUUGCAAAAUAAAUAGAGGAAUAAUGUGAUAAGUAGGCUCUAUUGCCACUUUCAUUAAUAAAUAAAAAGCCUAAACAUGGCUUAUAGUUCAACAAAUAUCCAAGUAUUUACGUAUAUGCUAAAUUUAUUACAUUAAGAUAUAACAACUAAAGCAUACAGAAAAAUUCUUGGAGGAAGCUUGGAGUUAGUAAGUAGCUCUAGAACAAAAAUGGGAAAGACAACUCCCUAGUAUUUGAUACUGGCACUUAACGAGGAAACGUCAGAGACCUAGACUUACAUUAUUUGCAAAAAUAAAAAUAAAGAAAUGAGGUUAGACACAUGUGAAAAGUACUUGAGGAAAUUAGCUCUUCAAAUUUACAAUGGUUUUUGGAGACUGUAGGUACUUAUAGGAACCUUAACAAGAGCGGACGAAAGUUAAGCACUUGCAGAAAUACCUGCAGAGGUAUCAGGUUCCAGGUACUUCUAGAGACACUUGUGGGUUAGCAAAGAUACCUGGUUAGUAAAGAUUUUAAUAGUCUCUUUUGCAAUACAAACAUCCAAAAAAUUGGCUUUUCAAUAUUUAGCCAAUUUCCAACACAAAAAUGAACACAACCUGCAAACACAUAAUAUAAAAUAGAGCAAGAUUCAUCCAGCAGGCAUAAAAGUGACAAAAGUACUUAUACCAAGUGUUGGUACUUAAAUGCAGAUGUUGAGAUACUAUAGUAGGGGAACUGGUACUUACAGAGCUACAAAUACUGGUGAGGUGGCAGACACGACUGGUACCUGCAAACCCGAAAGGGAGUAUGAUGCCAUCUCUACCAAUACAAAUAAUAAGGGCAUGUCAAAUAUGCAUUCCUAACAAUAGUCAAGCAGAAACAUAGGUAUCAAUAUGCAAAUUCAAUAUAUAGUAUUUAACAGAUGCAAACAAUAUGUAGGUACCGAUCAACAUAUUAUUGGUACUUGUGAAAUUCCCAAAUCCAGGGACAAUCAACAUUACCCAUUCAAAUUCUCAACUACUGCAUUAUAAAAUUAGCAUCAAAAGUGUCAUGAAAGUUCUUGAUUUUACCCAAAAUCGACUUUGAGAAUGAAGAAGAGUUGAUGAAUGAUGACUAUGGGAAUAGCUCAAUGAUGAAUGGUUGAUGAUCGGAUAAGAGAAUCAUGAGAUGAAAGGUAGCCUGUUGAAUGAGAAAUCACAGAAAGGAGGAUUGACAGCCAAGAAUGGAGGCUAGAGGAGAACCACACCAUGGUCGAUGACCAAAGCUAAGAGAUGAACAGCGAGGAAUGGGUAAGCGCGCCGAACGGGAGAAAAAAAUGGAGAAGGAAAGAAAGAGAAAGCAAAAAUAUGAGUGAGAUGAUAUUGGAUUUUAAUUUGAUAGUUAUGGAAGAAUGGAGAAAGAGGAGACGAUAAUGUGAAAAUGGAUUUAAGAUUCAUUAAUAUUGUGGGAAAGAGUGAUUUGCAGUGAUUACAAUUCUAUUGAAAGUUUG